This 433-nucleotide ribosomal RNA is filed under the name uncultured bacterium. RNAcentral's name for it is "partial 16S ribosomal RNA". It matches the Rfam family "Bacterial small subunit ribosomal RNA", at positions 29 to 507 of the family's 1533-position model. The record is from RNAcentral.
AACGAACGCUGGCGGCAUGCCUAACACAUGCAAGUCGAACGAAGCCUUCGGGCUUAGUGGCGCACGGGUGCGUAACGCGUGGGAAUCUGCCCUUGGGUUUGGAAUAACAGUUAGAAAUGACUGCUAAUACCGGAUGAUGUCUUCGGACCAAAGAUUUAUCGCACAAGUUUGUGCACGCGUCGGAUUAGCUAGUUGGUGAGGUAAAGGCUCACUAAGGCGACGAUCCGUAGCUGGUCUGAGAGGAUGAUCAGCCACACUGGGACUGAGACACGGCCCAGACUCCUACGGGAUGCAGCAGUGGGUAAUAUUGGACAAUGGGCGAAAGCCUGAUCCAGCAAUGCCGCGUGAGUUAUGAAGGCCUUAGGGUUGUAAAGCUCUUUUACCCGGGAUGAUAAUGACAGUACCGGGAGAAUAAGCCCCGGCUAACUCCGUG